CCUGCCUGUAAGACUGGGAUAACUCCGGGAAACCGGAGCUAAUACCGGAUACUAUGUCAAACCGCAUGGUUUGACAUUCAAAGACGGUUUCGGCUGUCACUUACAGAUGGGCCCGCGGCGCAUUAGCUAGUUGGUGAGGUAAYGGCUCACCAAGGCRACGAUGCGUAGCCGACCUGAGAGGGUGAUCGGCCACACUGGGACUGAGACACGGCCCAGACUCCUACGGGAGGCAGCAGUAGGGAAUCUUCCGCAAUGGACGAAAGUCUGACGGAGCAACGCCGCGUGAGUGAUGAAGGUUUUCGGAUCGUAAAACUCUGUUGUCAGGGAAGAACAAGUGCCGGAGUAACUGCCGGYGCCUUGACGGUACCUGACCAGAAAGCCACGGCUAACUACGUGCCAGCAGCCGCGGUAAUACGUAGGUGGCAAGCGUUGUCCGGAAUUAUUGGGCGUAAAGCGCGCGCAGGCGGUUUCUUAAGUCUGAUGUGAAAGCCCCCGGCUCAACCGGGGAGGGUCAUUGGAAACUGGGAAACUUGAGUGCAGAAGAGGAGAGUGGAAUUCCACGUGUAGCGGUGAAAUGCGUAGAGAUGUGGAGGAACACCAGUGGCGAAGGCGACUCUCUGGUCUGUAACUGACGCUGAGGCGCGAAAGCGUGGGGAGCGAACAGGAUUAGAUACCCUGGUAGUCCACGCCGUA
Molecule: ribosomal RNA, 693 nt
Filed under: Metabacillus indicus
Lineage: Bacteria; Bacillati; Bacillota; Bacilli; Caryophanales; Bacillaceae
Description: bacterial SSU rRNA
Source: RNAcentral